CUUCGCUGACUCUCUUUUUGGACUCAGCCUGCCUGCACCCAGGUGAAAUAAACAGCCUUGUUGCUCCCACAAAGCCUAUUUGGUGGUCUCUUCACACGGAAGUGCGUGACAGAGACAUGGACUGACCUCACAGGGGCAUUGGGACUGCCCAACAGGAUAAUAACGUGGAGAAGUACUUUGUCGGGUAUCUGCCAAAUGACUAUUGUUACGAUGAUUUUUAGAGUGUGGAAGAUGCCCCUCUAAAGGGACAUCAUUCUCGGAGCAUUUGUUGACCAAAAUAAUGGGAUAGAAGAUACAGCUAUUAUUCUAAAAAUGUGCAGUUCUGAUGCAGAGGGAAGUUAUCGUCACGACGUGCUAAACAGCACAACAUAUUAAUGUCAAACGAGGCUAUGGGGAGGGGCUCUGAGGGCCAAAACCAUGUGAGGCCACGUGGUCUCCAUGACUGGGCAAAGUCUUAUGGAGGGUGUGAGACUUAACCGGGGCUCUCCUAGGUUGGAGAGAGAAAGCUGAGCAAACAGAGACGUUCACUGGUUCCCAACUGUUAGCCAGGGCAGAAAAUCUGCGACUAUCUGCAGGGUGCACUAAUUAUACAGAUUUGAUAGAAGGCUGUAUUGGGGACUCACUAGAGAGACUGAGUGCAUAAAUUUGAUCAAGAAGAUUAGAAAAUGACCGAGAAAGUGGAUAAUCGGUUUUUACUACGGUGUUCUCAGAAAUUCUAAUUAGUGGUAGCAAUUGGAUUCUGCAAUGUUUUUCUUUGGUGAAUCCCAACAAAACCAAUUAACUUGUAUUGCAUCCAUACAUUACCAUGCACACAGGCCAUAAGCAAGGGAAGGCGUAUUUAGUCUAACUGCUGCCUUUUGGCUUUUAACAGAAAAUCAAUUCAUUUUGGCACAUUAAACCAUUAGUGCCCGUUGGAUAUGAACUUCGCCUUUUUCUUUACAUUUCUCUCCCACUUCCCCUUCUUCUGUUACAGGGGCGGAAACUGUCGACUUUGAAGGCUGUGAAUGGGGGGCUUCCCAGGAAAUCGGGAUAGACUCACACACACUGGCAUGUCUUUGGGCCUCAAGGAACUUUCUGAUUGAAUUCUGAAAGUCCUUGAGGCUUCUAAAUUCUACAAUCAAGCAUCAGCUUUAUGAAUUCCCUAUUCCGUGAAGAGGUGGUGUCAUUGAGAACCUGUUGGAUGGAUGUCAUCAGCACUGUCUCAAGGGUUUCUCAGAGAGAACGCUGACCGGCACCCUGCCCGUACCACCAGCCGCUCUCUCGGGCCCAGCGUGGUGAUGGGUCGUAGCCGCUGCUGAUGCUCCUUCCUUCUGAUCCCAGAUGCAGCUUCAGUAUCCUCUGCAGGUUGGGGGGACUGUGAUGAUUUGGAGUCAGCACUUGAGAGGAAACGUGCUUGCUCUUCUAAUUGUAGUGGAUAUUCUUCCUGGAUGUUGACUAAUAAAACAAAUGGACGUUC
This is a long non-coding RNA of Cercocebus atys (sooty mangabey), 1456 nucleotides long. RefSeq lists it as uncharacterized. The transcript has 2 exons. NCBI's taxonomy places the organism in Eukaryota, Metazoa, Chordata, Mammalia, Primates, Cercopithecidae. The record is from RefSeq and is a predicted model, not a curated record.